CACCCCAGUACCGAGCAAUUCUAUACUGCUAUAGAACCUUUUAUGUUAAAACUAGUAACAAGAAAACCCCCUUCUCUUUAAUGCAAGUUUAAGUCAGCCAGGAAAACCCACUGACAAUUAACAACCUUGAGCCCACAGUAGAAACACUACAAGAAAACCCUACUCAUAUUCUAUGUUAACCUUACACCAGAGCAUUACAAGAAAGAUUAAAAGAAAAAGAAGGAACUCGGCAAAUAUUAACCCCGCCUGUUUACCAAAAACAUCGCCUCUUGACACCCAUAAGAGGUCCAGCCUGCCAGUGACUCUGUUCAACGGCCGCGGUAUCCUAACCGUGCGAAGGUAGCGUAAUCACUUGUUCUUUAAAUGAGGACUAGUAUGAAUGGCACCACGAGGUUAUACUGUCUCCUUUUUCUAAUCAGUGAAACUAAUCUUCCGUGAAGAAGCGGGAAUAAAAAUAUAAGACGAGAAGACCCUAUGAGCUUAAACAAACAUACAACUGCCUUCUUUUAUAACUAUUUCAGAAGAAAACUUUUAUUUAGGCAUUUUGAUAUAGAGUUUUAGGUUGGGGUGACCACGGAGUAAAAAACAACCUCCGCAAUGAAGGGGGCUUUUCCCCUAAGCUAAGAGCUACAACCCUAAGAAUCAAAAAAUUGACACCAAUUGACCCAAUAUACUUGAUCAAUGAACCAAGUUACCCUAGGGAUAACAGCGCAAUCCACUUCAAGAGCCCCUAUCGACAAGUGGGUUUACGACCUCGAUGUUGGAUCAGGGUAUCCUAGUGGUGCAGCCGCUACUAACGGUUCGUUUGUUCAACGAUU
RNAcentral lists this ribosomal RNA (818 nucleotides) under Leptodactylus longirostris (longnose frog). RNAcentral describes it as "partial 16S ribosomal RNA". It matches the Rfam family "Bacterial large subunit ribosomal RNA", at positions 1553 to 2589 of the family's 2925-position model. The record is from RNAcentral. Lineage: Eukaryota; Metazoa; Chordata; Amphibia; Anura; Leptodactylidae.